ACGCUGGCGGCAGGCCUAACACAUGCAAGUCGAGCGGUAGAGAGAAGCUUGCUUCUCUUGAGAGCGGCGGACGGGUGAGUAAUGCCUAGGAAUCUGCCUGGUAGUGGGGGAUAACGUUCGGAAACGGACGCUAAUACCGCAUACGUCCUACGGGAGAAAGCAGGGGACCUUCGGGCCUUGCGCUAUCAGAUGAGCCUAGGUCGGAUUAGCUAGUUGGUGGGGUAAUGGCUCACCAAGGCGACGAUCCGUAACUGGUCUGAGAGGAUGAUCAGUCACACUGGAACUGAGACACGGUCCAGACUCCUACGGGAGGCAGCAGUGGGGAAUAUUGGACAAUGGGCGAAAGCCUGAUCCAGCCAUGCCGCGUGUGUGAAGAAGGUCUUCGGAUUGUAAAGCACUUUAAGUUGGGAGGAAGGGCAGUUGCCUAAUACGUAACUGUUUUGACGUUACCGACAGAAUAAGCACCGGCUAACUCUGUGCCAGCAGCCGCGGUAAUACAGAGGGUGCAAGCGUUAAUCGGAAUUACUGGGCGUAAAGCGCGCGUAGGUGGUUUGUUAAGUUGGAUGUGAAAUCCCCGGGCUCAACCUGGGAACUGCAUUCAAAACUGACUGACUAGAGUAUGGUAGAGGGUGGUGGAAUUUCCUGUGUAGCGGUGAAAUGCGUAGAUAUAGGAAGGAACACCAGUGGCGAAGGCGGCCCCCUGGACAAAGACUGAGGCUCAGGUGCGAAAGCGUGGGGAGCAAAC
RNAcentral lists this ribosomal RNA (745 nucleotides) under uncultured bacterium. RNAcentral's name for it is "bacterial SSU rRNA". It matches the Rfam family "Bacterial small subunit ribosomal RNA", at positions 33 to 773 of the family's 1533-position model. The record is from RNAcentral.